UUCCAGAGGGAUAUUUUUUCAUAUUCAAUGACAGGCACAUUCCCCAGAACUUCUAAACCUAGGAGGGUGCAACUGAAAAAAAUAUCUACAGCAUUUUCAUUCUUGGCUUGUACAUUUCUAAAA
Molecule: long non-coding RNA, 123 nt
Organism: Sapajus apella (tufted capuchin)
Lineage: Eukaryota; Metazoa; Chordata; Mammalia; Primates; Cebidae
Exons: 3
Source: RefSeq, a predicted model, not a curated record